AGGACGAACGCUGGCGGCGUGCUUAACACAUGCAAGUCACGGGGGCCCGCAAGGGCAACCGGCGAACGGGUGCGUAACACGUGAGCAAUCUGCCGAUUUCUGGGGGAUAGCCGGCCCAACGGCCGGGUAAUACCGCAUACGCUCGUUGAGAGGAGUCUCUCGACGAGGAAACCUCCGGGGGAAAUCGAGGAGCUCGCGGCCUAUCAGCUAGUUGGUGGAGUAACGGCCCACCAAGGCGACGACGGGUAG
This 249-nucleotide ribosomal RNA is filed under the name uncultured bacterium. RNAcentral's name for it is "partial small subunit ribosomal RNA". It matches the Rfam family "Bacterial small subunit ribosomal RNA", at positions 26 to 286 of the family's 1533-position model. The record is from RNAcentral.